AACGAACGCUGGCGGCAUGCCUAACACAUGCAAGUCGAACGAGACCUUCGGGUCUAGUGGCGCACGGGUGCGUAACGCGUGGGAACCUGCCCUUAGGUUCGGAAUAACUCCCCGAAAGGGGUGCUAAUACCGGAUAAUGUCUUCGGACCAAAGAUUUAUCGCCUUUGGAUGGGCCCGCGUUGGAUUAGCUAGUUGGUAGGGUAAAAGCCUACCAAGGCGACGAUCCAUAGCUGGUCUGAGAGGAUGAUCAGCCACACUGGGACUGAGACACGGCCCAGACUCCUACGGGAGGCAGCAGUGGGGAAUAUUGGACAAUGGGCGAAAGCCUGAUCCAGCAAUGCCGCGGGAGUGAUGAAGGCCUUAGGGUUGUAAAGCUCUUUUACCAGGGAUGAUAAUGACAGUACCGGGAGAAUAAGCUCCGGCUAACUCCGUG
This 433-nucleotide ribosomal RNA is filed under the name uncultured bacterium. Its description in RNAcentral is "partial 16S ribosomal RNA". It matches the Rfam family "Bacterial small subunit ribosomal RNA", at positions 29 to 507 of the family's 1533-position model. The record is from RNAcentral.